Molecule: transfer RNA, 71 nt
Filed under: Bos taurus (domestic cattle)
Lineage: Eukaryota; Metazoa; Chordata; Mammalia; Artiodactyla; Bovidae
Rfam family: tRNA
About the family: Transfer RNA (tRNA) molecules are approximately 80 nucleotides in length. Their secondary structure includes four short double-helical elements and three loops (D, anti-codon, and T loops).
Source: Rfam by way of RNAcentral
UCCCUCGUGGCUCAGUGGUAAAGAAUCUGCCUUCAAGGUAGUAGAUCCAGGUUCAAUCCCUGGGUUGGGAA